RNAcentral lists this ribosomal RNA (253 nucleotides) under uncultured bacterium. Its description in RNAcentral is "partial 16S ribosomal RNA". It matches the Rfam family "Bacterial small subunit ribosomal RNA", at positions 524 to 776 of the family's 1533-position model. The record is from RNAcentral.
UACGGAGGGCGCAAGCGUUGUUCGGAAUCACUGGGCGUAAAGCGCGUGUAGGCGGCUUUGCAAGUCGGGUGUGAAAUCCCGAGGCUCAACCUCGGAACUGCACUCGAUACUGCUUGGCUCGAGUCCCGGAGAGGGUGGCGGAAUUCCCGGUGUAGGGGUGAAAUCCGUAGAUAUCGGGAGGAACACCAGUGGCGAAGGCGGCCACCUGGACGGUGACUGACGCUGAGACGCGAAAGCGUGGGGAGCAAACAGG